UACCAGCACCCCGAGUGGUCGGGACGAUUAUUGGGCCUAAAGCAUCCGUAGCCGGCCUUACAAGUCCUCCGUUAAAUCCAGCUGCUUAACAGAUGGGCUGCGGAGGAUACUAUAAGACUAGGAGGCAGGAGAGGCAAGCGGUACUCAGUGGGUAGGGGUAAAAUCCAACGAUAUAAAGAUGAACACCAAUAACGGCGAAGGCAGUUAACUAUUCUGUUCCUGACAUUGAGGCACGAAAGCGUGGGGAGCAAAACGG
This 256-nucleotide ribosomal RNA is filed under the name uncultured bacterium. RNAcentral's name for it is "partial 16S ribosomal RNA". It matches the Rfam family "Archaeal small subunit ribosomal RNA", at positions 474 to 727 of the family's 1478-position model. The record is from RNAcentral.